CCGUGCUAGGUGGGGAGCUAGCGGUGCCCUGUAUCUGCAAUCCGCUACAGCAGAGCUGAAUGCCUGCCUAGGCAUGCAAUAUGAAAGGCAAGUUAUAUGUAAGUGAUGUUGACCUUAAGGUCUUAUGCAACGUUAUUCUGUGAACCGUGUCAGGGCUUGACCGCAGCAGCACUAAGCAGAUAUCAGCGUGUGCCAUGAGUAAACUUUGAGAGAGUUAACUGCAUGUGAGACUCUUUGGUAUAGUAUGUCGAAGCAGGAUGCACGG
RNAcentral lists this signal recognition particle RNA (265 nucleotides) under Clostridia bacterium. RNAcentral's name for it is "signal recognition particle sRNA large type". It matches the Rfam family "Bacterial large signal recognition particle RNA". From Rfam's summary of the family: The signal recognition particle (SRP) is a universally conserved ribonucleoprotein involved in the co-translational targeting of proteins to membranes. The record is from RNAcentral. Lineage: Bacteria; Bacillati; Bacillota; Clostridia.